GAAAUGCGAUAAGUAAUGUGAAUUGCAGAAUUCAGUGAAUCAUCGAAUCUUUGAAGGCACAUUGCGCUCGCCAGUAUUCUGGCGAGCAUGCCUGUUCGAGCGUCAUUUCAACCAUCAAGCUCUGCUUGCGUUGGGGAUCCGCGGCUGCCCGCGGUCCCUCAAAAACAGUGGCGGGCUCGCUAGUCACACCGAGCGUAGUAACUCUACAUCGCUAUGGUCGUGCGGCGGGUUCUUGCCGUAAAACCCCCAAUUUCUAAGGUUGACCUCGGAUCAGGUAGGAAUACCCGCUGAACUUAAGC
Molecule: unclassified non-coding RNA, 299 nt
Filed under: plant metagenome
Description: partial contains 5.8S ribosomal RNA, internal transcribed spacer 2, and large subunit ribosomal RNA
Rfam family: 5.8S ribosomal RNA (bases 1-105)
Source: RNAcentral